UACGAAGGGGGCUAGCGUUGCUCGGAAUCACUAGGCGUAAAGGGUGCGUAGGCGGGUCUUUAAGUCAGGGGUGAAAUCCUGGAGCUCAACUCCAGAACUGCCUUUGAUACUGAAGAUCUUGAGUUCGGGAGAGGUGAGUGGAACUGCGAGUGUAGAGGUGAAAUUCGUAGAUAUUCGCAAGAACACCAGUGGCGAAGGCGGCUCACUGGCCCGAUACUGACGCUGAGGCACGAAAAGCGUGGGGGAGCAAACAGG
This 255-nucleotide ribosomal RNA is filed under the name uncultured bacterium. RNAcentral's name for it is "partial 16S ribosomal RNA". It matches the Rfam family "Bacterial small subunit ribosomal RNA", at positions 524 to 776 of the family's 1533-position model. The record is from RNAcentral.